ACCUUGACUGAGGUGGUACUAAAGAACGUACCUGUUGACAGGUAUCAUGGACUUUUUUCGUAAUGGAAAAGCAAAA
This is a long non-coding RNA of Etheostoma cragini (Arkansas darter), 76 nucleotides long. RefSeq lists it as uncharacterized. The record is from RefSeq and is a predicted model, not a curated record. NCBI's taxonomy places the organism in Eukaryota, Metazoa, Chordata, Actinopteri, Perciformes, Percidae. The transcript has 3 exons.